Cyanistes caeruleus (blue tit) is the source of this 1634-nucleotide long non-coding RNA. RefSeq lists it as uncharacterized. The record is from RefSeq and is a predicted model, not a curated record. NCBI's taxonomy places the organism in Eukaryota, Metazoa, Chordata, Aves, Passeriformes, Paridae.
GUAGAUUUACUAGGUCAUAAAAAAGUUUGGUUUGUUUGUUUGUUUGUUUGUUUGUUUCUGCGCUGGGAAUCAUCUCUAUGGUUUGACAGUGGGUCCUCUCAAAGGUGUCACUGGGCCGCUACGUGUCGUUUGGACCGAGAACUUUCGGUCUGUCUUUCCCCCUUCCCCGAACGAAACGAGGCCAUCGGCAGGGCCUGAACAGGAGUUGGAGAAGCAGCAAGGGGUCGGACCGGCCUCGCCUCCCCUUGCUGCCCCAAUAGUGAUGUUCCGGCACCAGGCAGGAAGCCGGAUCUCUGUUGGAUUAGAGAACGGAUGUUAAAAGAUAUCUCUGGAGGUGGGCAAGGUGGUCUGGGCGUGCCAAACAUGAAAGAGGAAUCCAAAACAAAGUUAAUCUGAUCAACAGGGAUCAAUAGAAAAUGUUGUCAUUAGGUCCACAAGCUGAAGGACAUCUCAGUACGUGGGACUGCACCCGUGUGAGCUGGCUACCUCUGGAAGAGACACCAGCCAAUUCUUCAGCCUCUAUCUACUUGGUGCCUUUACCUGAAAAGCUGGUAGUGGACUGGGCUGCAGAGGGCCCUUCUGUCAACUUUUGUGACUGAGGAAUGCUUAAGACGAUGUAGGAUGGGUCCACCACCCUGAGUCACAGAAUAAUGGGAUUUAUUGAAGCAGUUUAUCCUCACAUCACGUAAUACAUGUUAUGCUUGAAGAACGAGGAGGAUUCAAAACAGCAAAACAUAAAAAAGCACCUUACAUGUAACAGAAAUCUGCAGCAAGGAGAGCUACGCUUUAAAACCUAUCCUAUUUCUAUCUGGAGCAAGCAGAAAACAAGCACAUGUGGAAAGGAAUAGUUCAGUUAAUAAAACCACACAAAUUGAGAUAUUUGCAUAGUUACUGCCAUGCUCAAGUGAAAGAAGAUAAUUGUGUGUAUGAAAGGUUUUCAACAGCUGUCUUUGAAAUCAAAUAAAGAAUUAGAUAAGCAUGCUGCCUGCUUUGCAUCUGGGAUAUAUAUACCAACACUCAAUAUUCACAAAUUGCUAAGUGGUUGUUGGACACCUGAAAUUCUAUUGAUUGCUAAAGCUCAAUAAUGUCUCACAGACUUGAUCAAAAGAGCAGGCAAGCAAACAAGUAAUUAUAUAGUAUUGGGACUCUUAGCAUAUACAAAAUACACUGCAAUCAGCAAACAUUCUGACUAGAUAAAUAACCUCAGUUUGGUGUGGCAGCAGCCAUAACAGGAAACCUUUCAAAUGUUGAUUACAUAAAAUUAAGGACGAUACAGUGAAAAAGUGUAUUGUAAAUCAGACAGCAGGGAAUUUCAAGGAUCACAAAUCCUUGCCUAAUAUAAAUUACUGCAAUAAAUUCUAGCAUGGAUUGUUUCUUUUAUAACAAUGGUUACCAAGAAAAUAGGAAUUGUGAGCUAGAAUUCCAGGGCAUUUAAAUCAUGAUAGUCUCUAGAAGUUUAAUUGCUUUAUUUUGCUUCUAGCUUGCUCGAAAGUGAACACAAGUAAUAGAUAUAAAACUGUUUGAUUGUAUAAAUUAAUAUUUGUUUCCUUAGAUUCUAUGUUAAGUCAACAAAUAACUUUUUUAUUGUAGUUAUUAUGGUGACUGGAAAUAAAGAGUUAACCUCUUUCCUCUUA